ACAUGCCUACAACAUAUAUUUAAUGCAUCAGAUCCCAUUAGAACUUCGCAGUUAAGCGCACUUAGGCUAGAGUAGUACUGGGAUGGGUGAAUUAGAGUCCUAGUGUUCUACAUGCC
Non-coding RNA from Picea glauca (white spruce), 116 nucleotides. NCBI's taxonomy places the organism in Eukaryota, Viridiplantae, Streptophyta, Pinopsida, Pinales, Pinaceae. The record is from Rfam.